This 71-nucleotide transfer RNA is filed under the name bovine gut metagenome. It matches the Rfam family "tRNA". From Rfam's summary of the family: Transfer RNA (tRNA) molecules are approximately 80 nucleotides in length. The record is from RNAcentral.
GCGAGAUAGCUCAGUUGGCUAGAGCACACGGUUCAUACCCGCGAGGUCGAGGGUUCAAAUCCCCCUCUCGC